ACCAGGCACAAAAGAGUACAGAAUGGAUGAUUCCAUUCAGGUGAAACUCUAGAACAGACAAAUCUUGCCUACAGUGAUAGAUGUGAAAGAUGGGGUUACGCCUGGGCAAGGAGGGGCUGGUGUGGACUGGCGGAUGGGAGUGCUCGAGGGGUCCUGUAACAUGAUCUGGAUGGGGGUUAUGUGGGCGUAUUCAGAUGUAACCCUUCACUGAGCUGUAUGGAUAACAUUAGUGUGUACCUGACUGUUAUAUCUCAAUUUCAAAGUUUAAAAUAAGGCAGACAUCAGAACGCCGAAAUCAAAAAUAAAAAUAAAAAGUAUAUGGAGAGAUCAGAAGCUGAUAGAGAAAGCUGUAGUCCGGUUGCCAGCAAGCCCAGAAGGAGCUGGAAAACACUGAGCUUGUUACCAAAUUAUUCUUUUACUCCGGAAAUUUGAUCCACAAGUCUGUCAGUACCAGGAAUUUCACAUCGCGUCACAAAGAGCCAGAGCAAGUAGUUUGCAAUGGAAAGGUGCUGUAGUUUAAGAACAGAAAAAUCAUCUUUGGUUUUUAAACAGGAAGGGGCCAAAAGGUUAUCUCUCCUGUCUGAACUGAGAGGUUAUUUUGGAAACAUCAACAACAACAACACAACAACUUAGAAAUAACGCUUGGGACAGAUUCCAGGAAAUUAAAAUCUGGAAACAAAGGCCCCCUCCCCCUAGAUUGUACUUCAGAUCUCACAAAACCUGGCUCUACCCCUGAAGACAUCCGAGAGCUGUUAAAUGAAGUGGCCACACGAAAAGCGAUUGGCUCAACAAAAACUGGAAAUAAAUACUUAUUAAGUCUGAUGCUGAGGCCCCUGCUUAGCACCCUUCUACCCAGGUGAGGCACAGGAGGAGGAGGAAGGCAGCCAAGAGACCUCCCCCAGGUUGGGGAAACGCUGUUAGAGCUGGCGGGAAUCCCACCGCUCUCCAGCCAGGGCCCCUCUGGCCAGACAGGGCCAGAUGAUGUAGUGACUUGAUUCAGUGGGUAAACAUCCAGUGCAGCUUGCUGGAGGCCCCCAGCCUCGUAUUACUGUUGACACAAGGUAGAUUCCCUUGCUCUAAACCACUGUUUAUAUUUUAGCCAAGUGUCCUAUAUAAAUCUCCUACCCAACCACCAGACUCCGGCUGCUACAGAAGUGACCAACUAGAAAAUGGCCUAAUAAGGAGUUUGCUGCAGAAAUUGGGGUGUAUCUCCAUAUGAAAGACUGCCUUAGGGGUACUGACCAGGAAAUCCUGAUGUUAGGGCUUUCCAAAAUGGGGAGCCAGAACACAGCUGAAGGCAGCUUCAGCUAAAAUAAAGGUUCUUUUAAAGAACUCUCUCA
This 1340-nucleotide long non-coding RNA is filed under the name Felis catus (domestic cat). RNAcentral describes it as "lncRNA (ENSFCAG00000045784.2)". The record is from RNAcentral. Lineage: Eukaryota; Metazoa; Chordata; Mammalia; Carnivora; Felidae.